CGCCGCGCCUUGCAGUCGUCUUGGAUUGGCACUGCUUCUGCAACAUCCACAGCUAAGAUAAAGCAGAAUAACGAGUAAAUUAACAUUGUUCUUACUAACUUGUGAGCCCCUGAAGUGAAACGGGCUUUAAAUAAUUUCAUUGACAUAGGUGGUUCAGCCCUUGAGAGUUCCAAUUAUGCACGCAACGCAGCUGCUGCUUUACCAUAUAGCUUUGUCUCGUUUAACAGGGUCUUCAACUCUCCGUCCUCUCUUUGUUCUCUUUUCUGAGUAAAUGUUAGACAUGUUUGAUUGUUAGCAACCCUUUCUAACUUUGUUACUAAUUUUCUUUUAUUCCCGUUAGUUGUAGUAAAAUUUGAGGGAAAAACACUGAACAUGAGAAUGAAUACCGAUUUGCUGUUGUGAUCAUAGUGGGGUCAGCUUGACUGACUCUUGUUUUUCCACCUUCGUUGAAGUUUCCUCUUCCCUUUAUAGUUUUUACUACAUUUUGUUUGGUAUGACUAAGUAGUUGACUGACUUUUAUGGGUUCUUUUUAAUGUCUAUCGUUUUUUUUCUAAUGUAGGUGAUUUUUUUCUCACUUUUUUUUUCUAAUUUAUCUUUUAUUUUUGGAUUUUAAUUCGAAAUCGCAAAACUUGAACCAUCAUAUGUUUUUAAAUUUUAAAUCACUUAUUUUAGAUAGAACAAAUUUUUUAAAAGUGGAUACAAGACAAAAUGACAUAAUUUUUUUAAUAUGAGUAUGGAACAAUUAUAGUCAUUGCUUGUUCUACUCGUCCUAUCUCGAAAUAAUCUUUUACCUUUUUUGUAUAUAAUUAUUAAAAUGAUAAAAAUGUAAUAAUAUAUUAUAGGAAAAAAAUCAUAUGUUUUAUAUUUAUAUUUUUAAAAAAUUAUGUUUAAAUACUUACUCGUCCUAUCUCGAAAUUUCUUGUAGUUAUACUGUCUUUGAGAUGUUUUUAUUCGCGAUUUUGAACUAAUUUUCUAAAUACCUAGGGGAGAUGAACCUUAUGAUGAAUUUUGUCUUUUGAUUUCUGUUUUAUGCAAUGAAUAAUUGAAUCUUAUUCUCAAUUAUGUGUGCUUAAUCCUUGAUUUAAGAUUUUCGAAUUAUUAAUUCAUGUUUGAUGUGCUUAAUUAAGAGUAGAUCUAGCAUAAUUGAGUGGAGUUGCAUGUAAUCCUAGAAAUAGGACGACAUAAAUCUAACGAAUUAGGUAUUCAUAAACGAGAACUCAAUCAUAUCCAUCAGCACAAAACCCAACCAGGCGAGUCACAUUCACAUGGUGGAUUCUACCUAUCGAACCCACCUCAUUGAUGAACUCUUAAUAUUUAACUAAAGUUUGCUUUCUACUUUUUUUUUAUUUCCAUUUUUAAGAAAAUGUUAUUUUAUUAAUUCAAUUAUCUAAAUUAAUAUUAUUUUAUUUAAAUUAUAUUAAUCCUCAUUUAAUUAUUACAAGUAUAUUAUUUUAAAAUUAUAAAAAAUAUUAUUUAAUAAAUUAAACAAAUAAACAUUUAAAAUCACAUACAUUACAUUAAAAACUAAUAUAUCUAAAUAUAUAUUUUACCACUUAUUUUAAUCUUGUUAUUUUUAAUUUCAUCAAAAUUAUAUAUCACUCGAGCCACUGCGACUGCUGACUGGUGAUUAUUGAAAGGUUCUGAAUUAAUACAUCCAAGACUUUUAUGAGCAUCGCCAUUGACUGACCGACGACUUGAAUUAAAGAAUUUUCCACAUUAGCUUUGUUAGUGGACUGAUUUUUCAAAGAAGGACUUGCUCUCAAUUGCAGCCAUAAAAUAAAUGAAUGAUUGGCAUUUUACAUUAAAGAACAUCCCAUUGUUUAUUUCUUCAUCGGAGCUCCACCGGAACUUGAUGAUGUUAAGACCCAGACUUGUCUUGUUUAGCAUCUUUGCCCUUACUUUAUCCCCAGAUGUUUCCGAUGGUAGAGCAGGCAAAAGCAACCACUGCGGCCCAUCUUUGUGUGGACACGUUAAUAUCAGUCACCCUUUCCGACUAAAAGGUCAGCCUCGUCGAUGUGGUGACCGUAGGUUUGAAUUAGAGUGCAAGAGAAACCGCACCAGUUUUCCCAUGAAAUACGGAAACUUUUAUGUCCUAAACAUCUCUUAUGUUGACCGAACGCUUCGACUUGUGGAUGUGAGUCUGGUCGAUGAAAACUGCUCAAUUCCUCGCAGUUCCAUUGUCGAUUCUUCAGACAGCUAUCUAGAACACAUAAUAGCGAAUGGAGCAGACACCAUGUAUCUGGUAAAUUGCACGACAAGUAUGAAGUCUUCUUCAGUUUAUGUCGAUGCUUCUCGUUGCCCAACCAAUAGCUCUUCUUCUCCUUGGACCUACUUCUACUUUCCGGUCUCGUUUUCAAAUAUAUCCGAUUUCGAUCAUUCGUGCAGAUUUAUAGCCCAGUUUCCUGUCAUGCUUUCCAAUAUUAGUGGCUUAUCCCCUUCUUACAUUUACAAAAACCUGUUGGAAGGCGUCGAGGUGUCCUGGUAUCGUUUUUGGCCUUCAAACCCGAUUCUCAAAGUGUAAGAGACUUCGAUCUUUAGAUUCUUUCAAUCUAUAACUUUUCAAGGCCUUAUUUAUUGAUUGGUUGCUUUUUUUUUUCCUGGGGGGGGGGGUAUUCUAGCUUGCUACAGUUGCUACUUCCAAUUGCAGCAUACAUAGUAACCAUUGCGAACUUUCUUCAGCAGGGAAGCAUCAACUAUUAUACUCCUUAUCAUAAAGGUUAAUGUUUCAGAUUUCAUAAGUAUCUGUAUUUAUUGGAUUUGCCCUUGAAUUGCAUUCAAGUUAGUAAUACUAUUGUUGAAUUGGUGUUUUAAACAGCAUCCUUCUUAGUUUGUCUUGCAGUAUCAGGUAAAUCUCUUUCCCCGCCCCACUUUUUUAUGUUAUCUUUAUAAAAUAAUCAUGAAUGCUGAUUUAUCCUUGUGUAUGCCCCUUGAUGGGCAAGCAGCUGGCAUAUUGUUAGCGAGAACUUUGUUGGGGAUAUUCUGCCUCAUUACACUUGUUAUACACAAACUAAGGAGGAGGCAUUUAUCGAUGGAUGAUAAUAUUGAGAACUUUCUUAAAAGUCAAAAUAAUUUAAUACCAAUUCGAUAUUCGUAUUCUGAAAUAAAAAGAAUUACGGAAGGUUUUAAAGUUAAAUUAGGUCAAGGAGGUUAUGGUUCUGUGUUUAAAGGAAAGCUUCGCAGUGGUCGGCUAGUGGCAAUAAAAAUGUUGGAUAAAUUCAAAGCAAAUGGAGAAGAUUUCAUCAAUGAAGUUGCUACUAUUGGAAGGAUUCAUCAUAUUAAUGUAGUGCAACUUAUUGGAUUUUGUGUAGAGAGAUCAAAACAAGCUCUUGUAUAUGAUUUUAUGGUGAAUGGGUCUUUGGAUAAAAUUAUAUUUUCAAAGGAGAAUUGCACUUUAAGUUGGCAAAAAUUAUUUGAGGUUGCACUAGGUGUGGCUCGAGGGAUUGAAUACUUGCACAGGGGUUGUCAAAUGCAAAUUUUGCAUUUUGAUAUCAAGCCGCACAACAUUCUUUUGGACGAAAACUUUAUCCCUAAAGUUUCUGAUUUUGGUCUUGCAAAAUUAUAUUCAGUGGAUGAUAGUAUUAUUUCUCUCACAGCGGCUCGUGGUACAUUAGGAUACAUUGCUCCUGAAUUAUUUUACAGAAAUAUUGGAGGCAUCUCAUAUAAAGCCGAUAUUUAUAGUUUUGGAAUGUUAUUAAUGGAAAUGGUGGGAAGAAGAAAGAAUUUGAAUGCAUUUGAUGAUCAUUCUAGUCAAAUUUAUUUUCCGUCAUGGAUUUAUGAUCGAUUUGAACAAAGAGAGAACAUAGAAUUAGGGGAUGAAACAGAAGUUGAUGACAAAAUAGCAAGGAAGAUGAUAAUGGUUGCAUUUUGGUGCAUACAAAUGAAUCCCACUAAUCGUCCUUCAAUGAGCAAAGUUUUGGAAAUGCUCGAAAAUGAACUUGAUCACCUUGAAUUACCGUCCAGACCUUCACUAUUUUCUCUCGAAAAGUCAAUUGAAGAUCAUGUUAGUAAGAAUGUAUCGGAGGAACCAUCAACGUCAAAAAGUUGUGUGGACCUCUAAGUAUAAUGUUUGAUUUUAUUCGGGCCUUUUAUACAUAUAGUUCUGCAACUGUAAGCUUUUAAUUUGUAGCAUUUCAUGUUCAGUUGUAUAAUAUCCAGCAUCAUGUAAUACAACUAUUAAUGGAUGUGUGUUUUAGACUUUAGCUCCUUAGCUUCAUGUUUCAAUUAUUAAAAAUGUCUCCCAGUCACCAUAUAAUGAGUUAAUAUCAAAUUCGUUUACAAUUAUUUAGUAUAUAAGUGACUCUUAACAUUGGGUGAUCUCAUGAGAAAGUUUUUACUGAUCUCUUAUUGUAAUAUGUAAUCAUGAUAAUUAUGAGUGUGGUGUGGCGGUUGCUCACUUCAUUUUUAAAUCAUUUAGUCAAGAAUUUGAGUUCCGCUCAAAGAAAUGGAACACUUACCAACUAUGAAUACCUUAAUUUUGACAAUUAAACAACAUUUAAGAUAGAAUCUUAUCAUUUAUUAGUAGAAUUUAUAUACCAACAGCCAUGCAGCAUUUCAUUUAUGAGUUCAUAUAAAAUCUUAGCAUUGGUGUAAUAUGAGUGUGCUAAUAGACGAUUUCAAGUUUCAACUGAUUCUAGUACUACUAAUAAUGAGGCUCGAGCUUGUUCUUAUUCCAUUUCUGAAAUAGUGGCUAGAUCUCUGUUAACCGGCUUCCUAGGUAUGGUGGCACCCAUCGUCUUCGUUGGAUCCGUCGACGCAAAAGGAUUUGGUGGCAUUGUAAGAACGUCAAGCUCUCCCUCUAACAUCUGAACCACCACUUUCAUCGAAGGACGAUCAACGGGAUACCACUGAAUGCACCAAAGUCCAACAAUCAUGAGUUUCUUUGCUAUCCCUGUUUGUGCAUCAUCUUCAAUUCGAAUCCCGAACUCCCCUCCUUUAUCCAAACGAUCAUAUGCCCAUUCUGGGAAAUACACUUGGCUUGUGUUCUCGACCGUAACAUCUAUGUUCUUUCUCCCCCCAACCAUUUCAAGCAACAGCAUUCCAAAACUAUAAACAUCAGAUUUAUAUGACACAUUUCCAAAGUUGCGAGACAGUACCUCUGGUGCAAUAUAGCCCAUGGUACCUCUAGCUGUUGUCAUUGAAAUAGCACUUUGUUCCUUGGAACACAAUUUAGCAAGGCCGAAAUCAGAGAUCUUAGGAUUGAAGUUGUGAUCAAGCAAAAUAUUGUGAGGUUUGAUGUCAAAAUGGAGGAUACGUUGCUCGCAACCUUGAUGCAGGUACUCAAUGCCUUUGGCUACACCGACAGCAAUAUCCUGAAGUUUUUCCCAACUCAGGGAUCGAUCCUUGCCCUUGGCUGAAAAUAUGAACUUCUCUAAUGACUCGUUUGGUAGGUAUUCAUAAACGAGAGCUCUGUCAUAUCCAUCGGCACAAAACCCAACCAGGCGAGUCACAUUCACAUGGUGGAUUCUGCCCAUCGAACCCACCUCGUUGAUGAACUCUUCACCAUUUCCCUUGAAAUUAUUGAGCACCUUGACAGCAACUAAAACAUCACUGGAAAGUCUGCCUUUGAAGACAGUUCCAUAGCCUCCUUGUCCCAGUUUGUCCUUGAAAUGAUUAGUUAUCCUUUUAAUAUCAGCAUAGGAGUAUCUUGAGGGUUUAAGCUCUUUAUAAUCUUCCAAAAACUUUUCAAUCUUGACUUGGCUUUCUUUCUCCUUUUUGUCUAACCGAUAUCUCCACCCAACUGCAAUGGCAAUGGUUGCAGCAAUUGAAGAACCCAACACAAUACCUGCAAAUCAGCAUACAUCCCUCUGUUAUAUCCCGUCUUAAAUUAUUGAAGCUAAAAGGGAAAUUUCAUUUACCUGCAAUCAUUAGCCUUUCUCCCAAACCUGCCAAGCAUUUAAAAUUAUUCAGCUUUGAUACAUGGGAAAUCUAAGAAAAGGGCUCACUGUAAGUUUACAACAUUAAGCUUCACGUUGAUGCAGGCUAAUGAAUUUUUUAACGUACGUUGUACAAUUAUAAUAGUUAAAACAUACCUAUAUGGUGCUUGGGGAUAUAAAAACACUCGGUUUGUUCCUUGGUGCUAUUAUUGUUGGUCAAUCUACAUCCCCUUCCUUGAGCUUCGCAAUCACCACAGUCUGGUUUAUACCAACGUAACUGAAAACGGAUACCAUAAGGAGAAAUGGGUGUUGAGAAGUUGCGAAAGUAGCUGCAAUUCAACAGGUUGAGUCCAUAAUAAUUUUCAUCAGAAGCAAAAGCUAUAAUUUAGGAGCCAGGGGUGCUUAAGCAAGCGACUCUAUAUCUUUUAUACAAAGCCUUCUCUUGGCUUAAACAUUCGAACAAGGUAUAGUUGGAUUCAGCUGGUUGGGAUCUAUAAUCUUUUAGGCCGCUGAAACCUGGUUGUUCCUCCGCGAAUGGAAAGGCAGAUAAAUUGAGAUCUAAAAGCUGCUGCCAGAGGCAACGGCCGGGAACGUAGAAGUCAAUCCGUUGAGCUUCAUAAUCUAUGUGCUUCACCAAUAGCUUCAGCGAACGUGGUAUCUUCAGCAGGGUCUGUUUGUUUUCUGAGCAGGAAAGCUGAAACCCAGGAUGAUGAUAGCCGCAGUGGGGAGACUGCUUGCCUUCUAAACGGAAGGGGAAACGGACAGGUGGAUCCUGGUGGUUGCACCGCCGCACCUUGCAGUCGUCUUGGAUUGGCACUGCUUCUGCAACAUUCACAGCUAAGAUAAAGCAGAAUAACGAGUAAAUUAACAUUGUUCUUACUAACUUGUGAGCCCCUGAAGUGAAACGGGCUUUAAAUAGUUUCAUUGACAUAGGUGGUUCAGCCCUUGAGAGUUCCAAUUAUGCACGCAACGCAGCUGCUGCUUUACUACAUAGCUUUGUCUCGUUUAACAGGGUCUUCAACUCUUCGUCCUCUCUUUGUCCUCUUUUAUGAGUAAAUGUUGGACAUGUUUGAUUGUUAGCAACCCUUUCUAACCUUGUUACUAAUUUUCUUUUAUU
This 6990-nucleotide long non-coding RNA is filed under the name Gossypium barbadense (sea-island cotton). Its description in RNAcentral is "long non-coding RNA (GBAR_LNC015216)". The record is from RNAcentral. Lineage: Eukaryota; Viridiplantae; Streptophyta; Magnoliopsida; Malvales; Malvaceae.